Molecule: RNA transcript, 2567 nt
Organism: Vidua macroura (Pin-tailed whydah)
Lineage: Eukaryota; Metazoa; Chordata; Aves; Passeriformes; Viduidae
Gene: PSPC1
Gene name: paraspeckle component 1
Exons: 12
Source: RefSeq, a predicted model, not a curated record
GGCACGGCUGCUGAGCAGGGAUCCGCGUCCCCCGAGGGAGAACCCGCGAGGAAGAAGUGGAUAUGGCCGCGAAUAGGAACUUGAAGCAAGUGCGGAUCGAAAACAGCUCCCCAGCGGUGCCGCUGGGCAUGGUGGGGGGCGGCGGCGGCGGCAACCUGAAAGGAUUGCGCGGCCUAGAAGCGGAGAAUGAGGCGGCGGCGGCCAUGGCUCUGGUGCCGAGCAAAGAAGGUGGCGGAGAUGAGGAACAGGAGGUUGGGUUCACUAUCGAUAUCAAGAGCUUUCUCAAACCUGGCGAGAAGAGCUACACGCAGCGUUGCCGGCUGUUCGUGGGGAAUCUGCCUACUGAUAUCACCGAGGAGGAUUUCAAGCGCCUUUUCGAGCGCUACGGGGAGCCCAGCGAGGUCUUCAUCAAUCGAGACCGUGGCUUCGGCUUCAUCCGCCUGGAAUCUAGGACCCUGGCUGAAAUAGCAAAGGCAGAACUUGAUGGUACUAUUUUGAAGAGCAGACCACUUCGAAUUCGAUUUGCUACCCAUGGAGCUGCCUUAACAGUGAAGAAUCUGUCGCCUGUGGUUUCCAACGAGCUGCUGGAGCAAGCAUUCUCGCAAUUCGGGCCCGUGGAAAGAGCGGUUGUUGUAGUAGAUGAUCGCGGCAGAGCUACGGGGAAGGGCUUUGUAGAGUUUGCAGCAAAACCUCCAGCACGGAAAGCUCUAGAAAGAUGCAGUGAUGGGGCAUUCUUGCUUACAACAACACCUCGACCUGUUGUUGUAGAACCAAUGGAGCAAUUUGAUGAUGAGGAUGGACUCCCUGAGAAGCUAAUGCAAAAAACACAACAGUACCACAAGGAAAGAGAACAGCCUCCACGCUUUGCUCAGCCUGGAACAUUUGAGUUUGAGUAUGCUUCACGGUGGAAAGCUCUUGAUGAGAUGGAAAAGCAGCAGCGUGAACAGGUUGAUAGGAACAUUAGAGAAGCCAAAGAGAAACUUGAGGCAGAAAUGGAAGCAGCUAGACACGAGCAUCAGCUAAUGCUGAUGAGGCAAGAUCUCAUGCGUCGUCAGGAAGAAUUGAGGCGUUUGGAAGAACUUCGAAACCAAGAACUUCAAAAACGCAAGCAGAUACAAUUGAGACAUGAAGAAGAGCACAGACGUCGUGAAGAAGAAAUGCUGCGCCAGAGGGAACAGGAGGAAUUACGACGACAGCAGGAAGGAGGAUUUAAGCCAAAUUUCAUGGACAAUAGAGAACAGGAAAUGAGAAUGGGUGAUAUGGGUCCUCGUGGAGCAAUAAACAUGGGAGAUGCGUUUAGCCCAGCACCUGCUGGUAACCAAGGCCCUCCUCCAAUGAUGGGUAUGAAUAUGAACAACAGAGGAACUUUACCUGGCCCUGCAAUGGGUCCUGGUCCUUCCAUGGGACCAGAAGGAGCUGCAAAUAUGGGAACAUCAAUGAUGCCAGAUAAUGGAACAGUGGUUACUAUUAAAAUCUUAAAAAUGCAGAUGACUGGCUUGUGCAGAAUCCUUUUGCUAUCUUAUGCAGACAAAAGGGAAUCCUAAACCAGGUUUUAGUACAAGGUUUCAAUGGAAGCUGCUGGUGGCUGCCCAUCCUCAGAACUGAGGCUGUUACAUUGUGAUGAUGUGCAAAAUGCUGCUCUGCACCUUGGAGUUACAAGGACCAUCCAGACAGGCCAGAUCUGUGAGACCUGAGGGAAAAGGGCUGUUUGAAAUGAUAAAAAAGAACCCAGCCUGGAGGUGGUGUGUCCCCCACCAAUACCUCAGCUUGGAAAAGACAUGAGAAGAAUGUGAAUACAUCUGCUUGUGAGCUCCAAGUCCUCUUCCUACAUGAGGAGACAAGUUACAGCUUUUUUGAUGUUAAUGUCUUCAGCCUUUGGCACAGAAGGUGGUUCCAGUCCAGCAUUUCAUAGUAAAGCUGAUGUUGGCCUACUUUGAUGUGUAACUGAGCAAGGCAGUGGACAUGAAUUGAAGGCUUGACAGGAACCUCACGCAGUUAAAUCCUACAGUGGGAACUGAACUAAGCUGAUGCAGUUGUAGAUCCUGGGCACAGACUGAUGGCGAAGCAGCUUUGUGGAAGCUGAUCUGGGGUCCUGAGGGACAAGUGAAGAUGAAGGUGUCCAUCCCCAUACUGGGGGCUCCAUUAAAAGAUCAUGGCUGAGCAGGGGCCAGAAGAGCAAUCUCUCUGCUCAGCACUUCUGAGACUGCAGCUGAAACACUGUGCCCAGUAAUGGGCUCUUGAAGACAAGGAGAUGUGGGAACGAAUCCCAUGGAAGCCAUUGGGCCAUCAGAAGGCUAAGGAGCACAAGAGUCAUGGGGCCAGGCAACAGGGGUUUUUCCAGCUGGAGAACAGGAGAUGGAGGUGGUUAAGAGAUCCUGAUAAUCCAGCUGUGUAAGAGAAGUGCAUAGAGGAGGUGGAGCCAGGCUCAUGGCAGUGGUGCACAGUACGGUGGGAGUUUUGUACCAUUGUUUCAGUGCAUGGAAGUGUUGCACCGUACCACUAAUAAAAACAGUGCAAGGCAGCACUGUGUGGCUGUACUUACCUGGACUGCCUGCACUGUGGAACCA